Molecule: non-coding RNA, 281 nt
Organism: Pseudopodoces humilis (Tibetan ground-tit)
Lineage: Eukaryota; Metazoa; Chordata; Aves; Passeriformes; Paridae
Source: RefSeq, a predicted model, not a curated record
CCUAGCUCUCAGAAGUGGCAACUUGGAUCCUUUUUCCUGGCUGAGCACCCAGCCUCACCUCCUGCCAGCUGCUGCAGAAGAAAUCCUCUGUGUGUUCUCCUGAAUUGUAAAGGCUGGUAAGAAAGAGAAGCCAAAGUCAUCCAUUAAUCCACAGGCAAAGUCCUAUUGAAGCUGCUGCAGUGAAAGCUCUCCCAUGCUGCCCUGGAAAUAACCCCGGCCGUGACGCGCUGAGAUGACCCUAGACACCUCUGCUGCGAGGGGAUGUGGGACCUCAGGGAGCC